CAGCAGCCGCGGGAAUACGAAGGGGGCUAGCGUUGUUCGGAUUUACUGGGCGUAAAGCGCACGUAGGCGGAUCGAUCAGUCAGGGGUGAAAUCCCAGAGCUCAACUCUGGAACUGCCUUUGAUACUGUCGAUCUGGAGUAUGGAAGAGGUGAGUGGAAUUCCGAGUGUAGAGGUGAAAUUCGUAGAUAUUCGGAGGAACACCAGUGGCGAAGGCGGCUCACUGGUCCAUUACUGACGCUGAGGUGCGAAAGCGUGGGGAGCAAACAGGAUUAGAUACCCCUGUAGUCCCUGUCUCUUAUAC
RNAcentral lists this ribosomal RNA (301 nucleotides) under uncultured bacterium. RNAcentral's name for it is "partial 16S ribosomal RNA". It matches the Rfam family "Bacterial small subunit ribosomal RNA", at positions 509 to 807 of the family's 1533-position model. The record is from RNAcentral.